CGGGUGAGUAACACGUGGGUAACCUGCCUGUAAGACUGGGAUAACUCCGGGAAACCGGAGCUAAUACCGGAUAGUUCCUUGAACCGCAUGGUUCAAGGAUGAAAGACGGUUUCGGCUGUCACUUACAGAUGGACCCGCGGCGCAUUAGCUAGUUGGUGGGGUAAUGGCUCACCAAGGCGACGAUGCGUAGCCGACCUGAGAGGGUGAUCGGCCACACUGGGACUGAGACACGGCCCAGACUCCUACGGGAGGCAGCAGUAGGGAAUCUUCCGCAAUGGACGAAAGUCUGACGGAGCAACGCCGCGUGAGUGAUGAAGGUUUUCGGAUCGUAAAGCUCUGUUGUUAGGGAAGAACAAGUGCGAGAGUAACUGCUCGCACCUUGACGGUACCUAACCAGAAAGCCACGGCUAACUACGUGCCAGCAGCCGCGGUAAUACGUAGGUGGCAAGCGUUGUCCGGAAUUAUUGGGCGUAAAGGGCUCGCAGGCGGUUUCUUAAGUCUGAUGUGAAAGCCCCCGGCUCAACCGGGGAGGGUCAUUGGAAACUGGGAAACUUGAGUGCAGAAGAGGAGAGUGGAAUUCCACGUGUAGCGGUGAAAUGCGUAGAGAUGUGGAGGAACACCAGUGGCGAAGGCGACUCUCUGGUCUGUAACUGACGCUGAGGAGCGAAAGCGUGGGGAGCGAACAGGAUUAGAUACCCUGGUAGUCCA
RNAcentral lists this ribosomal RNA (708 nucleotides) under Bacillus zhangzhouensis. RNAcentral's name for it is "bacterial SSU rRNA". It matches the Rfam family "Bacterial small subunit ribosomal RNA", at positions 103 to 797 of the family's 1533-position model. The record is from RNAcentral. Lineage: Bacteria; Bacillati; Bacillota; Bacilli; Caryophanales; Bacillaceae.